RNAcentral lists this long non-coding RNA (359 nucleotides) under Ananas comosus (pineapple). RNAcentral describes it as "long non-coding RNA (ACOM_LNC027296)". The record is from RNAcentral. Lineage: Eukaryota; Viridiplantae; Streptophyta; Magnoliopsida; Poales; Bromeliaceae.
AUUUACUUUUUAAUCAAUGCUUAUAAAUACUAAAAGCUUGCUUUAAAUGAUUCAAACUCAGAACCUCUUAUUUUGAUAUUAUGUUAAAUAAUGCGAAAUAACCAUUUGUUUCAAACACUUUAAAUUAGUAAAGAAUGAUAUUUAUAUAUUUUGUAGUCAACAAUUGCGCUGUUACCGACCGUCGCUAGAGCAAGUGGCAAAGGGCUUGAUGGUUGGUAUCCGAGAUCCAAGUUCGAAUCCUAGUUGAUUCACAUUUCUAGCUAAAUUUAUUUCUAAAUGAAAUAAACUAAGCGGAUAACAUUGCUAUCUAUCUCUCAAAAAAAAAAACCAAUUAUACCGUUUUAUGGUGUUUGAUUUUG